This 465-nucleotide ribosomal RNA is filed under the name uncultured bacterium. Its description in RNAcentral is "partial 16S ribosomal RNA". It matches the Rfam family "Bacterial small subunit ribosomal RNA", at positions 28 to 507 of the family's 1533-position model. The record is from RNAcentral.
GACGAACGCUGGCGGCGUGCUUAACACAUGCAAGUCGAACGGAAAGGCCCUGCUUGCAGGGUACUCGAGUGGCGAACGGGUGAGUAACACGUGGGUGAUCUGCCCUGCACUUCGGGAUAAGCCUGGGAAACUCGGUCUAAUACCGGAUAGGAGCCAUUUUUAGUGUGAUGGUUGGAAAGUUUUUUCGGUGUAGGAUGAGCUCGCGGCCUAUCAGCUUGUUGGUGGGGUAAUGGCCUACCAAGGCGGCGACGGGUAGCCGGCCUGGGAGGGUGGACGGCCACAUUGGGACUGGGAUACGGCCCAGACUCCUACGGGGGGCAGCAGUGGGGAAUAUUGCACAAUGGGCGGAAGCCUGAUGCAGCGACGCCGCGUGGGGGAUGACGGCCUUCGGGUUGUAAACUCCUUUCGCUAGGGACGAAGCUUUUUGUGACGGUACCUAGAUAAGAAGCACCGGCUAACUACGUG